This 406-nucleotide ribosomal RNA is filed under the name uncultured bacterium. RNAcentral's name for it is "partial 16S ribosomal RNA". It matches the Rfam family "Bacterial small subunit ribosomal RNA", at positions 29 to 526 of the family's 1533-position model. The record is from RNAcentral.
ACGAACGCUGGCGGCUGCUUAACACAUGCAAGUCGAACGGAGUGGCGCACGGGUGAGUAACGCGUGAGCAACCUGCCUAUGACAGUGGGAUAGCCUCGGGAAACCGGGAUUAAUACCGCAUAGUCAUAGAUGGGCUCGCGUCUGAUUAGCUAGUUGGUGAGAUAACAGCUCACCAAGGCGACGAUCAGUAGCCGGUCUGAGAGGAUGAACGGAGACAUGGGAGAGGAGACACGGUCCAAACUCCUACGGGAGGCAGCAGUGGGGAAUAGUGCAAAAUGGGGGAAAUCCUGAUGCAGCGACGACGCGUGAACGAAGAAGGUAGUCGUAUCGUAAAGUUCUGUCCUAUGGGAAGCAGUACCAUAGAAGAAAGCUCCGGCUAAAUACGUGCCAGCAGCCGCGGUAAUAC